RNAcentral lists this ribosomal RNA (497 nucleotides) under uncultured bacterium. RNAcentral describes it as "partial 16S ribosomal RNA". It matches the Rfam family "Bacterial small subunit ribosomal RNA", at positions 28 to 507 of the family's 1533-position model. The record is from RNAcentral.
GAUGAACGCUGGCGGCGGGCCUAAUACAUGCAAGUCGAGCGGACGGACGGGGAGCUUGCUUCUCUGAUGUUAGCGGCGGGCGGGUGAGUAACACGUGGAUAACCGACCUAUAAGACUGGGAUCACUUCGGGAAACCGGAUCUCAUACCGGCUAAUAUUUUGAACCGCAUGGUUCAAAAGUGAAAGACGGUCUUGCUGUCACUUAUAGAUGGAUCCGCGCUGCAUUAGCUAGUUGGUACGGUAACGGCUUACCAAGGCAACGAUGCAUAGCCGACCUGAGAGGGUGAUCGGCCACACUGGAACUGAGACACGGUCCAGACUCCUACGGGAGGCAGCAGUAGGGAAUCUUCCGCAAUGGGCGAAAGCCUGACGGAGCAACGCCGCGUGAGUGAUGAAGGUCUUCGGAUCGUAAAACUCUGUUAGUAGGGAAGAACAUAUGUGUAAGUAACUGUGCACAUCUUGACGGUACCUAAUCAGAAAGCCACGGCUAACUACGUG